Molecule: ribosomal RNA, 526 nt
Filed under: uncultured fungus
Lineage: Eukaryota; Fungi
Description: eukaryotic LSU rRNA
Rfam family: 5.8S ribosomal RNA (bases 209-362)
Source: RNAcentral
UCUUGGUCAUUUAGAGGAAGUAAAAGUCGUAACAAGGUUUCCGUAGGUGACCUGCGGAAGGAUCAUUACAGAAAGUAAACGCGGAUCAAUCCGCGAACUUCUAAACCUUUGACGAUUGACUUAUGUUGCCUCGGCGGGUUCUCUCGCCAGAGGAUACAUCAAAACUCCUGUUUUAACGGUGUUGUCUGAGCUACAAGCAACGAAUCAAAACUUUCAACAACGGAUCUCUUGGUUCUGGCAUCGAUGAAGAACGCAGCGAAAUGCGAUAAGUAGUGUGAAUUGCAGAAUUCAGUGAAUCAUCGAAUCUUUGAACGCACAUUGCGCCCCUUGGUAUCCCGAGGGGCAUGCCUGUUCGAGCGUCAUUUCACCACUCAAGCCUGGCUUGGUGUUGGGCGACGUCCCCCUUUAGGGACGCGCCUCGAAACGCUCGGCGGCGUGGCACCGGCAUUAAGCGUAGCAGAAUCUUUCGCUUUGAAAGUCGGGGCCCCGUCUGCCGGAAGACCUACUCACAAGGUGACCUCGGAUC